UCAAGUUAUAAAUUGUGGGUUGAUCCUAAUAGUAUAAACAAAUCAAAGGAUCCAAGAAUUACAUAUAACGAAAACAAAAUUCUUUUUUGAGUUUCAUCCCUUCUAUAUAUGGCUUGAAUCAUUAAACAUAUUGUAACAAUAUGCAUUUUUUUGGGUUAUUACCAAACAAUGCCUAUUGAUGGAGAAACAAUCAGAGCACCACCUCGCUAUAAGGUGGUUAAUGUCAGCUCUUUGGAGCCAAAACCCUACUGCCAGAGGUCAACCUCAGGUAUAUUUAUUAAUUAAUCAGUAUGUGUGUGAUGGUAUGGAAUCGCAUCGUUCCCAAUAAUAUGUUCACUCAACGGGAUUAGCUUUGUCGAGCUAGUCAUGAACUCUAGUAUUUUUAUUGUAACAAUAAUAAAGCCUGUGGCAUACCAUAAGACAAUUAUUUUGGUAGUGUUAUUGCAGAUAGAUUUAUAUUAACUACAUUUAUAUUCAGAUUAAUGAUCAGCUACGAAUAUCUUGGUUACGAACUUUAGAAAAUAUAAUUUUAUUAGAAAAAUUAUUAAAAGAAAAUAUAGAAGAAUAUCAAAAAAUUCAAGAUAUCCUAUACUUAGAAUACACGAGAGAAAAUAUAAAAGAAAUUUCAAGAUUAAUUCCGCUAGCCACAAAAUAUUAUGAAAAAAUAUUUAGAAUAAACUAAGGGACCCCACCGAACUGUUGAUUUCGACUACUCACCUGGUCUUCAAUAAAAUAAAAUAAAUUUGGGGUAAAUAUCUACCUUUUUAGAUGGAGACAAUUUCCAUAAUACGAAUAUUAUUUCUUUUUCUUUUCUUCACUGUAUUAAAUUCGAUCUCCUUCAACAUGAAUAUGUCAUACGUCAAUAGAGCUAAUUCAAUUAGUUAUGUUGAGACCUAACUAUAGGAAGUUAGACUUCAGCUCUCACCAAUUUACGUCAUGAAGGAAGGAUGAGAUAAUCGUAUUCGUAGCCUCUAUAUCUUCUGUCUCACUAUUUUGUUCUUGAUAAAUAAAUAAAUAAAUGACAUGAAACUAUAAUUUUCUUCUUAUAUGGUAAAAGAGAAAAUUAUUCAGUUUGACCUUUCAGAGUAAAAAUGCUAUUAAUAUUAGCCAAAUGCCAUCAAUAUUAGCCAAAAUUAACUAUUUAUAUUUCUUUUCCUCUCACGAGUCUAUUUCCCCUCUCUCCCUUUUUUAUGUAAACAUGAAGUAAGGUAGUAGAUAAGAAACAAAAUCCGUAAAAUUAAUUAGUAUUUUCCAUCUUAGUUUCACUACAAUCUAACCUUUCACUUUCUUUGAGAAACAAGUUAUGCCUAAUUCUUUAAUAAUGUUGUUCAUCUGAUUUCACAAGAGUGAAACUUUCUCUUCUUUCAUAAAUAAGAAAAUUCAUAAUUUUGUAGAUUAAUUUAUGAUCCAUUUAAAAGGUGGAUCUGUACUAGAACAAUAUCUUUAAACUCCAGCUAAUAUUCAUAACCAUUUUGGCUAUAUAUAUAUAUACACAUAUUAAUGCGCUUUUUCGGCUAUAAUUUUUUCACAACAUGAGAUAAUUUUUAGUGAAAUCCUUUUUACUGGUUAAUAAACAGACCCAGCUGGUUUUGGUGGUCUUCAGCUGUCGUAGAACAUGGAGUAAGAUUAGGUUGCUUUAGCUCUUAAUUAUUGUGUGGUAUAAUAUUGACAAUAUCAUAUGGCAAAUAGAGCUUUGUUUUGGACAAUUGGUGUAGACUUUUCGUUUCACUAUGAUUUCAAUUUUUGGUGUCAAUACGAGACGGAGGAAUUCAUUUAGUAUUUUAUGCAAGAUAGAAGCAACACAUGAACUAAACCAACUAAAAUGACAAAGCACUCUCAUGAUCUUCAAAAUUAAUUUCUUUAAUAUCUAACAAUAAGUAAUCUCUCAUUAGUUAUGACCCACAAUUCUGCCAUUGUCAUGAUGACAUCUAACUCAACCCGUUAGAUAAGCCAAAUCAUAUAGUUACUACUAUAACGAGAAAACAUCACUAUUAUAAAUAAAAACUGCAAUAGAAUUUAAUACAACUACCCUAAGGUCUGAUAGUACAAGUCAUGAGCCACUAUAAUUUGAUUUUACAAAACUGGUGAAAAGAAUAAAUACAACAUCUGUUUGUAAGUUACAUAAACAGAAGUACUCCUAAGCUACCGUGAACAAAAGGUAGCAUGAACACGGUACUCUGGCACGUCUCCAAUGUAAAGCUCUGUCUUCACAGUUUCUCAGCUCUAAAAUCUGCACGCAAGGUGCAGAAGUGUAGUAUGAGUACAACCGACCUCAUGUACUCAAUAAGUAUCUUGACUAACCUCAGAGAAAUAGUGACGAGGUUUUAGGUCAAAAGAUACUACUUGUCAAAUAACAUGUGCAAUAUAUCAAAGACUAACAAGAAAAAGUAUAGCAGAAAAACAAUUACUAUAAUCUCCUCGUGUGAUUACCAAAAGGUCAUCACCUGUUUUAGAAAUAAACUCUGUGUACCGAGGCCUUAAAAACCUCUUUCUUUCUCACCUCGACUUACGUGCGUGGUAUAUCUGGACAGCCUUCUAUGUGAAAAUAUGAGAAAUAGAAAUUUCUAGAGUUAAAAUUUAAUUAUGGUUGACUUUGGUCAAUAUUUUGAGCAAACGGACCCGGAUCUGUAUUUCGACGAUCCUGAAGGUUCGCAGUAAAAUAUGGGACUUGGGCGUGCCCGAAAAUGAAUUCCGAGGUCCCAAGCCUUAGAAAUCAAUUUUUGAAAGAAAUUGUUUUACUAAAUUAUCUAAGAAAUGAAGAAAAGAAUUAAUGUUUGAAACCAUUGAUAUCGGGUCUGUUUGGUUCCGGUGCUCGGUACUAACUUGUUAUAGUAUUUAAAUAUAAUUGUGAAAUUUGGUGGAAAAUGGAGUUUAUUUGACGUGAGUUGGACUUCCGGUUGAAGAGUUAUGAACUUUGAGUGUUCUUGAUGAAAAUGUUGAAUUUUGAGGUUUAGUUCAUGGUUUUACAUGUUAUUUUGAUUAUGUGAUCACACGAAUAGGUCCAUAUGAUGUUUUUGAGUUAGUAUGCAUGUUUGGUCUGAAGUCCUGAGGGCUCGGGUGAGUUUCAGGUAGGUUUCGGGAUGUUUUAGGCUUAAAACAUAGCUGUUGCAAGUUCAGAGAAGUUGCAGAUCUCUGAACCCGCCAGUGCGGUCCGCAAUGAUUUUGUGCUGCCGCGGAGGGGCCUAUGCGGCCGCAAAGGAUUUUGUGCUGACCGCGGUGGGGGUUGUGCGACAACACUCAAUUUAGUGCGGUCCGCGGUGAGGAAGAAUCUGCAGGUUCACUGGUCUGACUUCGGAAGCCUAUAUCUUUUGAUAUACAAGGAAUUGGGAGAUGACUCAUAAACAAAAUUUGUCGCCCUUCGUGUUUAGUUUCCAUAAAGAUAAAGAAAUUACAAUUUGGACAUCGGUAGAGAAAGUUAAGGCCAAAUUACUAAAGCAUGUCACUGCAAUCAACAUUGUGAGCUCCGCGGCCGCACUCCUUUAUGUGCGGUCCGCAUAGGGGGUCUGAGAGGGGUAUAUGUAAACGGGAUUUUCAGUUAUUUUUCAUUUUUCAAAACCCCAAAAACAUAACAAGCGAUUUUUCAAACAACCUUUCUUCUCCAAAACAUUAGUAAGUGAUUUCUAACUCAUUUUCUAUACUCCUUAACUUCUUUUUACAAGAUUUCAUCCUAGAAUCAAUGGUUUUCAUGGGGGAAAUUGGGUGUUUUGGGUAGAACCUAGGUUUUUCAAAUUUUGUGGGGAUUUGGACCUCGAUUUGAGGUCCGAUUUUAAAACAAAUUAUAGAUUUGGGUUCGUGGGGGAAUGGAUAAUCGAAUUUUGGUUCGAACCUCGGGUUUUGGCCAUGGGUCUGGGGGCGAUUUUUUGACUUUUUGGGGAAAAUUUUAGAAAACUUAUUUUCAUGCAUUAGAAUUGAUACGAGCAAAUUGGCGGUGGAAUCAAGAGGUAAAGUGAUAGUUGAGACUUGAAUUUUGUUCGUGGCAUCGAGGUAAGUGUUUGGUCUAACCUUAGUUUGAGGGAUUAGGAGUCGAGUCCUAUGUGCUAUGUGAUAUUUGUUGAGUAUGACGUAUAGGCAUGGUGACGAGUGUCUAUGCGUUGGUGUCAAACAUGCCCGUGAGUCUUGUAUUAUGAUUAUUAUAACGCCGUUUGUAUUAUUCAUGCCUUUUGUGAUGAUUUCUAUUGUUGAGUAGAGUUUGUGGAGGAAAUAGAGGUAUUUGAGUAUUUAAGAGCAUUGGCUCAAGUGGUACAAUGAAUUUAUGGAAGUAUAAUUGGCAUUUGAACUUCAUAGAGAAUUGGCUCAAGUCGUAAAGUGAGUUGUGAAUUAAAAGUGAAAAAGAGAAGAGAAUUAUUAUAUUGUUUCCCUUGUCAGGAUAUUGUUGCUUUUAAUGUUAUCUCCCUUGCCGGGAUGUUGAUGCUUUUGAUAUUGUUCCCUUGCCGGAAUUUGAUUGUUGAACUAUUGUUCCCUUGCCCGUAUUUCGUUUACUUAUUUCCUUGCCUUAUUAUUUGUGAUUAUUGUUUGGGUGAGGAAGAGUGUUAAAGCACGAAGAGUGAUGCCGUGUAUAAUUUUGUGAGGAAGAGUGUUAAAGCACGAAGGGUGAUGCCGUGUAUAAUUUUGGUAGAAAGAGUGUAAAGCACGAAGGGUUAUUCCAUACCGCACGACGUACAAUUCCGGGCCGAUUAUAUUGAUUAUAUGGUGAGGACGAGAGUAAAAGCACGAAGGGUGAUGCCGUGCAAUUUAUAUUGAUUCUUUUGGUGAGGACAAAAGUAAAAGCACGAAGGGUGAUGUCGUGCACUUGUUUGAUCCCUGAUUCUUUGCUGAUAGUUGAGAUAGGGUGUUUCUUGUAUUUAACCGUUGUCUUUUUAUUCUUAAUUGAUGUUUCCCCGUAGCAUGUUACCCCCUCCCAUACUUAAUUGUACAUUACUGUUCUUCUUUUUCACUGUAUAUGAUUUAACUGCACAGGUUUAUUUGGUUGUCUGAUCCUAGCCUCGUCACUACUUCACCGAGGUUAGGCUAGGCACUUACCAGCAUAUGAAGUCGGUUGUGCUGAUACUACAUUCUGCACUGUGUGCAGAUCCCGGAGCAGCAACAUUCAAACCUUAGCUUGGGUGGCUGCCUUUAGUCCAGUUGGAGAUUCCGAGGUAGUCCUGCAGCGUCCGCAGGCCCUGGCGUCUCCCUCUAUCCCUUCAUCCUUUUUCAUAUACUUAUUUUAGAAACAAUGUAUUAGCUAUAUUUCAGACCUUGUUUGUAGUAAAUUCUAGACUGUCUGUGAAGUGUGACACCAGUUCUGGGUGAAUUUUGCUUAUGAUGUUGUAUUGGAUAUUUAUUCAAAUGUUUUAUCGUUUAUUCCGC
RNAcentral lists this long non-coding RNA (5346 nucleotides) under Nicotiana tabacum (common tobacco). RNAcentral describes it as "long non-coding RNA (NTAB_LNC011837)". Lineage: Eukaryota; Viridiplantae; Streptophyta; Magnoliopsida; Solanales; Solanaceae. The record is from RNAcentral.